This 450-nucleotide ribosomal RNA is filed under the name uncultured Glomus. RNAcentral describes it as "SSU rRNA". It matches the Rfam family "Eukaryotic small subunit ribosomal RNA", at positions 569 to 1025 of the family's 1831-position model. The record is from RNAcentral. Lineage: Eukaryota; Fungi; Glomeromycota; Glomeromycetes; Glomerales; Glomeraceae.
AGCAGCCGCGGUAAUUCCAGCUCCAAUAGCGUAUAUUAAAGUUGCUGCAGUUAAAAAGCUCGUAGUUGAAUUUCGGGAUCAAUAUGUUGGUCGUGCCUUGGUACGUACUAGCUUAUUGAUUUCUUCCUUCUGAUGAACCAUGAUGUCAUUAAUUUGGUGUCAUGGGGAAUCAGGACUGUUACUUUGAAAAAUUUAGAGUGUUUAAAGCAGGCUAACGCUUGAAUACAUUAGCAUGGAAUAAUGAAAUAGGACGUUUGAUUCUAUUUUGUUGGUUUCUAGGAUCGACGUAAUGAUUAAUAGGGAUAGUUGGGGGCAUUAGUAUUCAAUUGUCAGAGGUGAAAUUCUUGGAUUUAUUGAAGACUAACUACUGCGAAAGCAUUUGCCAAGGAUGUUUUCAUUAAUCAAGAACGAAAGUUAGGGGAUCGAAGACGAUCAGAUACCGUCGUAGUC